UGAGCCCCUUGAACUUGAAGAACUUGUA
This 28-nucleotide non-coding RNA is filed under the name Homo sapiens (human). The record is from RNAcentral. Lineage: Eukaryota; Metazoa; Chordata; Mammalia; Primates; Hominidae.